This 468-nucleotide ribosomal RNA is filed under the name uncultured bacterium. Its description in RNAcentral is "partial 16S ribosomal RNA". It matches the Rfam family "Bacterial small subunit ribosomal RNA", at positions 28 to 507 of the family's 1533-position model. The record is from RNAcentral.
GACGAACGCUGGCGGCGUGCUUAACACAUGCAAGUCGAACGGAACGGCCCUGCUUGGGUGGGGUGCUCGAGUGGCAAACGGGUGAGUAACACGGGAGUAACCUGCCCUUGACUUUGGUAAAACUUCAGGAACCUGGGGCUAAUACCGGAUAGGCGCUCCUGCUGCAUGGUGAGGGUUGGAAAGUUUCGGCGGUUGGGGAUGGACCCGCGGCUUAGCUGCUUGGUGGUGGGGUGGUGGCUUACCAAGGCGUCGACGGGUAGCCGGCCUGAGAGGGUGACCGGCCACACUGGGACUGAGAUACGGCCCAGACUCCUACGGGAGGCAGCAGUGGGGAAUAUUGCACAAUGGGCGGAAGCCUGAUGCAGCAACGCCGCGUGAGGGAUGAAGGCCUUCGGGUUGUAAACCGCUUUCGCCUGUGACGAAGCGUGAGUGACGGUAAUGGGUAAAGAAGCACCGGCUAACUACGUG